Molecule: long non-coding RNA, 594 nt
Organism: Cyprinus carpio carpio
Lineage: Eukaryota; Metazoa; Chordata; Actinopteri; Cypriniformes; Cyprinidae
Source: Ensembl
GAAAUGUCAACAAAGCAUUGUGGUUUCUGCACUUGCUCGAGCUCUUGAAAAUGGCAAACUGACAGAUGAGAGCAAACCUCUCUACCAAAUCCACCCUCUUCCCAGCAACAGAUGCUACGGCACGCUCACUGAUCCAGCCGUGCUGAAGUCCCGUAAUUAAUCUCCUAUUACUCUCCUCGACUCUCCAUCAUGCAGGUCUAAUCUUCCGCUCUCCUGUGAAUGUGCAUGAGGCAGAGCAUCUUAUCAGCUGCUGAAGCGGCACCUUCUCUACAGGCUCCCAGCAGAGCUGGUGUUAUCCUGGACCCCUACCAGCACUAGAGCUCUCAACCAACAACUGAUGCCAUAGAUUCAUUCAGAUAUGUGGCCGUUGCUGCCGAAUUGCUGUGUUAAGCAGUAAUAGACACCCAAGAGAGGUGAGGAGAGGUCAAAACAUCAAGUGGCUCAACAGCCACCACUGUCAAACUCACUGGACUACAAGAAAGAUUUAAAAAGCCACAUGUACAAACAGCUCAAAUUUGGAAUAGUGAACACCCAUCGAUUUCAGAUUGAAUCACAACAAGUUGCUCUGUAAGCUGUGUUUUUCUGUUUCAUACA